Molecule: RNA transcript, 1442 nt
Organism: Manis pentadactyla (Chinese pangolin)
Lineage: Eukaryota; Metazoa; Chordata; Mammalia; Pholidota; Manidae
Gene: B9D1
Gene name: B9 domain containing 1
Exons: 7
Source: RefSeq, a predicted model, not a curated record
GCUAGACUGCGCACGCGCGCCGCCGCCGCCGAGCACUUGCCUUCGCGAAGGCCCAGUUUCCAAUAAAUGUGUCCUGCACGCCACGCCGUCUGUUUCCAGGACAACCCCGGUGCCUCUUAGCAACUGUCUUAGCGCGGCUGUCUGGGUCCUUUCCUGGCGCCCCCAGUCCUGCCAUGGCGGCCCCGGGUCCCAGUGUCUUCCUGCUUAUGGUCAACGGGCAGGUGGAGAGCGCCCAGUUUCCUGAGUACGAUGACCUCUACUGCAAGUACUGCUUUGUGUAUGGCCAGGACUGGGCUCCCACAGCGGGUCUGGAGGAGGGCAUUUCCCAGAUCACAUCCAAGAGCCAAGAUGUGCGGCAAGCGCUGGUGUGGAACUUCCCCAUCGACGUCACCUUCAAAAGCACCAACCCAUAUGGCUGGCCACAGAUUGUGCUCAGCGUGUACGGACCGGACAUGUUCGGGAAUGAUGUGGUCCGAGGCUACGGGGCAGUGCAUGUGCCUUUCUCACCUGGCAGGCACAAAAAGACCAUCCCCAUGUUUGUCCCAGAAUCCACGUCUAAAUUGCAGAAGUUUACAAGGGCUGUACGAAGGUGGCAGCAUCAAGAGAAGGCAGCUGGGAUCUCCGAUCACUGCUCAGAGGGGCCUGAGCAGGCACUGGACUCCGUGAGAAAUAAACCUGCUUCGUUAAGCCACCAAGUCGUGGAGAGUUGUUACGGCAGUGUAGCCUCGGGCACCCUGCUCUAGCAAACCUCCCCCUGCUGAGUGCUACUUCCCCCCCAACCCCAGUGGACCCCAGGAGGCCAGGGCUUCAGCACAGACAGAGGAUGGGUGUGCAGGGCAGCCUCAGGGCUGAGGUGGGAGCUGAAGCCCGCACCUGAGGGCAAGCCGCAUGCCCACUGCCCCCUUACUGCUGUCCCACCCAGGUCCUGGCCUUUGCCAUACUCUCCUACCAUCAGGACACCUCCUGCAUCUCUGCCUGGAAAGGGGUUUCUCCUUCAGUUAGUGCACCUCCUCUGAACACAGGUCCUGAGAAGGGACGGGCCCUCUGUCCCAUCAGCUAUACCACAGUAAAGUGCACGAGCCACCCAAGAACUAUCUCGAAUGACCAGGUUGUCUGGGCAGCUCCUCAAGGAACAGCCCUCUGGGCACAGGCAUAGAAGAGGAAGCAGAGGCGGGCAGGCACUGAAGACGCGGCCUGGAACUGGCAUGCUGUCAUUGUCCCUCAUUCUAAGCAUCUCGUGGCUAUGCCCAAAGUCCACCGAUGAAGUGCCACCAACGACCCCACCAAUGACAAGGCCACAGUGAGAGAGAUGAGUAUUUUUAAGUCUGCAACGUGUCUGGAGUUGGUGGCUGAGUGGGCCAGGGAUCCCCCAGGGAGCCGCAGGCACAGAAGCACUGCCGCUCCCCAGCGCCCACCAUCUCCGUGCUAUCCCCACCUUCCCC